This 189-nucleotide non-coding RNA is filed under the name bovine gut metagenome. The record is from RNAcentral.
AGAACUAUUAUUCUGAUGAAUCGAAUGACGGAGUAACGCCCUGAAAGGUUCACAUUAAAACUACGAGCAGCAUUGCAGUGUGAAAUGCAAAUGUUGUAAGUUCGUGGAAGUCGCAUGAGAGUAACCGUAAAUGAAUAUUCAUACGAAAGCUGUCCGGAGGCGGAUGGUGUUACCUAUAGUGCGGAUGGC